Molecule: ribosomal RNA, 630 nt
Filed under: uncultured fungus
Lineage: Eukaryota; Fungi
Description: eukaryotic LSU rRNA
Rfam family: Eukaryotic large subunit ribosomal RNA
Source: RNAcentral
CCCGCCGAACUUAAGCAUAUCAAUAAGCGGAGGAAAAGAAACUAACAAGGAUUCCCCUAGUACCUGCGAGUGAAGCGGGAAAAGCUCAAAUGUGAAAUCUGGCGGCUCUGGUGUCCGCGUUGUCUUCUGGAGAAGUGCCUUCCGCGCCGGACCGUGUACAAGUCCCUUGGAACAGGGCGUCAUAGAGGGUGAGAAUCCCGUCUUUGACACGGACCCCCGGUGCUCUGCGAUGCGCUCUCGAAGAGUCGAGUUGUUUGGGAAUGCAGCUCAAAAUGGGUGGUAAAUUCCAUCUAAAGCUACAUAUUGGCGAGAGACCGCUAGCGAACAAGUACCGUGAGGGAAAGAUGAAAAGCACUUUGGAAAGAGAGUAAAACAGUACGUGAAAUUGUUGAAAGGGAAACGCUUGAAGUCAGUGGCGUCUGCUCGGAACUGAGCCCUCGCCUCUCCUUGGCGCACUCUCCGGUCCGACGCUGCCAGCAUCGCUUUCGUGGGGCCGACACUGGCGGGGGGAAGGUGGUGGCUCCGGCCGCGUCAUAGCCCUCUGUCGCAAACGUCUCGAGGGACCGACGAAUCCGGCGCAAGCCUGGGAUGCUGGCGUAAUGGCUUUAAACGACCCGUCUUGAAACACGG